Molecule: ribosomal RNA, 337 nt
Filed under: uncultured bacterium
Lineage: Bacteria
Description: bacterial SSU rRNA
Rfam family: Bacterial small subunit ribosomal RNA
Source: RNAcentral
AGGGUUCGAUCCUGGCUCAGGAUGAACGCUAGCUACAGGCUUAACACAUGCAAGUCGAGGGGAAACGAUAUUGGAAGCUUGCUUCCGAUAGGCGUCGACCGGCGCACGGGUGAGUAACGCGUAUCCAACCUGCCCACCACUUGGGGAUAACCUUGCGAAAGUAAGACUAAUACCCAAUGACGUCUCUAGAAGACAUCUGAAAGAGAUUAAAGAUUUUUCGGUCAUCGAUGGGGAUGCGUUCCAUUAGGUUGUUGGCGGGGUAACGGCCCACCAAGCCUUCGAUGGAUAGGGGUUCUGAGAGGAAGGUCCCCCACAUUGGAACUGAGACACGGUCCAA